Molecule: non-coding RNA, 376 nt
Organism: Callorhinchus milii (elephant shark)
Lineage: Eukaryota; Metazoa; Chordata; Chondrichthyes; Chimaeriformes; Callorhinchidae
Source: the annotation of a RefSeq genome assembly
AUGUAUAUCUAUAUGGCAGUCGCCAUCAUUACCUUGUCAGGCCUGACCCAGGGAGACUCUGUGACACAGAAGGUGGGUUCAUUGAUUGGGAAAGAAGGAGGAAGUGUGACCAUGGAAUGUCAUUAUGAUACGUCUCUGAGCAGCUACUAUUUAAACUGGUAUCGAGAACAAAAAGAAACACAACCACAUUAUGUGCUUCAAAAGUAUUCGGGUGGUAAUACAGAUAAAGCAGACUUUGCUAAAAAGCGGUUCUCUAUUGAGCUCCAAACCUCGACAAAAUUCACCAGUUUAACCAUCUCCCUGCUGGAGCUGUCUGACAGCGCUAUAUAUUACUGUGCUCUCGAACCACACAGUGAUGAGAACCAGUCAGAGACUC